GUCCAUGCCGUAAACGAUGAUUGCUAGGUGUGGGGACUGACCCCUUCCGUGCCGGAGUAAACACAAUAAGCAAUCCACCUGGGGAGUACGGCCGCAAGGCUGAAACUCAAAGGAAUUGACGGGGGCCCGCACAAGCAGUGGAGUAUGUGGUUUAAUUCGAAGCAACGCGAAGAACCUUACCAGGUCUUGACAUCCAACUAACGAAGUAGAGAUACAUUAGGUGCCCUUCGGGGAAAGUUGAGACAGGUGGUGCAUGGUUGUCGU
RNAcentral lists this ribosomal RNA (264 nucleotides) under uncultured bacterium. RNAcentral's name for it is "partial 16S ribosomal RNA". It matches the Rfam family "Bacterial small subunit ribosomal RNA", at positions 793 to 1055 of the family's 1533-position model. The record is from RNAcentral.